Gossypium raimondii (Peruvian cotton) is the source of this 4801-nucleotide RNA transcript. It is a transcript of the gene named protein SCAR1, with no coding region annotated. The record is from RefSeq and is a predicted model, not a curated record. The transcript has 10 exons. Lineage: Eukaryota; Viridiplantae; Streptophyta; Magnoliopsida; Malvales; Malvaceae.
ACUUGGAGAGAAUGCCUUGCAGUGUGGGCAAUGUCGUCUUCAUCUUCUUCAUCUUCCCUUUCUUUCUCUCUUUCAGAAGUUAGUUAAGAUAGCUCCAAUCUCUCCACCUACUAUUUUUCCACUAUUUAGCAAUACCACAACAAAUUACAUUGAAACAUUUUAUAGUCUCAUUCUUUUUCUUUUUAAUUCAAUCAAUACACUGUUAUUUUCAUUUUUUUUUUCUUUUGAAUUUCUUGAGAGAAAUUUCGAAAAUGCCUCUAGUUAGAGCUGAAGUAAGGAACGAGUAUCGGCUUGGUAAGCCGGAGCUUUACAAGGAAGCUAUUAGGGAAGAUCCUAAAGCUGUUCUCGAUGGCGUCGUCGUUGCCGGUCUAGUCGGGAUCUUACGGCAAUUAGGCGACCUAGCUGAAUUUGCAGCUGAGGUUUUUCAUGGAUUACAAGAGCAAGUAAUGAGCACAGCUUCUAGAAGUCAUAAAUUGACAGUUCGUGUGCAGCGGAUUGAAGCCGCGCUUCCGCCCCUUGAGAAGGCUGUUCUUUCCCAAACAAGUCAUAUACACUUUGCCUACACAGCUGGUUCCCAGUGGCAUCCUCGCAUGCUCAAUGAGAAAAAUCAUUUCAUCUCCAAUGACUUGCCACGUUUUAUUAUGGAUUCCUAUGAAGUUUGUCGUGACCCUCCACCUCUGCACUUGCUUGACAAAUUUGAUGCUGGUGGCCCUGGAUCUUGUUUGAAGAGAUAUUCAGAUCCAACUUACUUCAAGAAAGCAUCAGGUAUCUCCAUAGAAGAAGAUGCUGAGAAAGACCCAAGAAAUAGGAAGACUCGUAAAAGCAAGAAAAGAAGAUCGUCUCACAGGAGUAGCAAACUAUCACGUGGUGCAUCAUUAUUGAAUCAUAGUGGCAGAAUGCAGUUUACUUCUCCGGUUGAUGAUGGGCGAAUUUCUUCCUCGCAAACUGCAUCUACAGUUGACAUGGCACUGAAAUCUGAAGUGGGAGAGCAUUCCAGUUCAUUUGAUUCAAGAACUGGCUCUGGAUAUAAUGAAUCUGUUUCUGAACUGGGUUCAUCCAUGCUUCCUGAGGAACACGAACCCAAGGAACUUUCUUCAAGGUUGAUGCAUGAAACUGAUACCCUUGGUUCAGAUUUUCCUGUUCAACAAACUCGGGUUAUAGAUGAUAACUUUUCAGUUAGUUCAUCACAAGAGCAGAUUUCUCCAAGUCCAUCUUAUUUAACGUGGGAUGAAAAAGCAGAAAUAGUGGAGUCCAAAGCAGGAAAUUGGGACAGAGGUGAAGUUCCAGAGAUGAACUUUGACGUAGAUGUGCAGGAAACUGGAGUUGCCAAUAUUGGAGAUGGUGACCAAAUGGAUAUCCCGUCCAAUCACACGGAUUCUGUCCGAUCAAGUUCUAUUGAGAACCAAAAUUACGAAAUUGAAAGUGAACCAGAAUAUUACAUGGAUGCACUGAACACAAUAGAAUCAGAAUCUGAAAAUGAUAUAGGGUGCCAGUGCCAUACAAAACGAAAAGUGGAACAGUGGUCUGAAAAAGAUGUUGAAUGCCAAACAAAAUGCGAAGUGGAGCAGAAUGAUGGUGCUAGCCAUGUUAACGAUAAGAACAGAGAAGAUGGGAUACUGGCGGUUGCAGAUGAUAAUGCAGACCAUCAUCAAUCUAUAAUUGAAUCCUCUGCCUCAUCCAAUAUCAUUUCAAGCAAUGAGAUCUCCAUGAGUUUACCUGAUCCAGUUCCCUCAGCGAAUUUUGCCAGUGAGCAGAUGUUGCAAAUCUUAGGGAAAUCUUCUGAUCCUGACAAUUUAUCCCAUUCUGGUUUAUACAUGAGUGAUGAAAUUCAUGAAAAUUCACAAGUGGAAUCUGUCAUCAGUAAUCCAUUUGAAUCCUCUGCCUCAUCCAAUAUCAUUUUAAGCGAUGAGAUCUCCACGAGUUUACCUGAUCCAGUUUCCUCGCAGAAUUUUGCCAGUGAACAUAUGUUGCAAAUCUCAGGGAAAUCUUCUGAUACUGACAAUUUACCCUGUACUGAUUUAUACAUGAGUGAUGAAAUUCAAAAAAAUUCACAAGGGGAAUCUGUCAUCAAUGAUCCAUUUGAAUCCUCUGCCUCAUCCAAUAUCAUUACAAGCAAUGGGAUCUCCACAAGUUUACCUGAUCCAAUUUCCUCACAGAAUUUUGCCAGUGAGCAGAUGCUGCAAAUCUCAGGGAAAUCUUCUGAUCCUGACAAUUUUCCCUAUACUGAUUUAUACAUGAGUGGUGAAAUUCAUAAAAAUUCACAAGUGGAAUCUGUCAUUAGUGAUCCAUUUGAAUCCUCUGCCUCAUCCAAUAUCAUUUCAAGCAAUGGGAUCUCCACGAGUUUACCUGAUCCAGUUGCCUCACAGAAUUUUGCCAGUGAACAUAUGUUGCAAAUCUCAGGGAAAUCUUCUGAUACUGACAAUUUACCCUGUACUGAUUUAUACAUGAGUGAUGAAAUUCAAAAAAAUUCACAAGUGGAAUCUGUCAUCAAUGAUCCAUUUGAAUCCUUUGCCUCAUCCAAUAUCAUUGCAAGCAAUGGGAUCUCCACAAGUUUACCUGAUCCAAUUUCCUCACAGAAUUUUGCCAGUGAGCAGAUGCUGCAAAUCUCAGGGAAAUCUUCUGAUCCUGACAAUAUUCCCUAUACUGAUUUAUGCACAAGUGAUGAAAUUCAUAAAAUUUCACAAGUGGAAUCUGUCAUCAGUCAUCCAUCAUCAUCCUCUGGCUCUUCAGUUUCUAAUCCAGCUAGUGAUAGAAUCAUAAACAGUGUGAGGGACUCUCAAAACUCCCAUAGAGAAUUUUGUGGUGUGAAUUCAGUAGGGUUCUGGACAAAUGGUGGUCUUUUGGGACUUCAGCCAUCAAAACCUCCUGAUUUUACUGUAUCAACUACAGGGCAGGGCUCUGCAGCCAAAACUAGUGAGGCAUUUGGUCCUCAAAAUCUAACUGUUGUGGCUUUGCACAAUGGACCCAAAGGAAAUUCAAGAAAAGCUGUUGAGAAUGCAGAAAGUACUGAGAAGGUUCCUGGUUCAUGUAGUGAGAAAACUUCCCUUCCGAUUGCUGAUUUAGAUGCUAACCUUGAAAAACCUGAUACUUCUCAUCGUAAUAGUAGUCUUGAUAAUUUUAAUGGUGUUGGCUUGAGCUUAAACUCUUCAUUCUCAGACGGAAACAAGCACCCAGUCAAUCCUAAUGUUAGAGCUGCAUCUAUCGAAUCUGAUGAGGAGAAUGAUGACAACUCAUCUAGUAUGUUUGGACUUGGUCAUAAGUUACAUGUAAAUGGUUUUCACAGAAAAGUGUCGAUUAACCAUGACAUUGAAUCUGAACCAGCCACUUCUACUAAAACUGGGGUGUCUGAGCAGAGGAAUGGGCAACAGAGCACCUCAAAUCAGGAAAUUCCUUGGACAACCUUCAGUCAGCAGAAUGGAAAUGGAUCUCCUGUAAAUUCGCUUACUUCUUCUCCACCACUUGAACAUAUGAAAAUAUCUUUCAACCCCAUAGAUGGAUUUGAGACUUCUAAACUCAGAUUGCAAUUUCCUGAUGCGAACCAUUAUCAGGAAAGCGUUAGGGAUAUGUUUCCUGCUUUCCAAUUGGUCCCAGUGCCUGCCAUUCCCGUGCAUGAUGUUGCUUCAGACUCUGAUGAUGACACUUUCUGCAGAUCAGCCCCUUACAUGUCAGAUGAUUGUCUUAGUCAUUGCUCUGAGUCAAAUUCUGAGCAAUGGGAAUCUGGAGAAACCCCUGAAAGCAAGGACCCUGAGCUGUAUGAUGCAUUAAGCAGAUUGUCAUCAAUGGAAUCUAUUUCAAGCUCUUUACAAAUUAGGGAAGCUGCCAUCAAUAGUAUCCAUGUUAAUGGGGGAAACAAAAGUGUAGUUCAUGGGAGUGGUGCAGAACCAUCUCUAUUUGUGUUGCCUGAUCUCCCAAGUUUUGAUACUAUUAACCCUGUACUACAGGAUGAAACCAAAAGCAAUUCCAAUAAAAAAAAACAUCUAGAAUUGAAAAAUACGAUGGACCUCACAUCAGUACCUCCACCACCUCCUCCUGCACAAUGGCGGGUUUCAAAACCCUGCGUUGAUGAGGCCGAAGAAAGACAACAUGCAUUAUCAGAGUCACUCAGACAUGAGCUUGAUCUGAAACUUUUAGGAUCUACCGUCUCUCAGAAACCCAAAUCACCCUCAUUUAAUCAACAACAAAUAGAAGAUGCAAUUGCAUUAAAACCAGAAAAGAAGGUGGACGAAGAGAAGUUGAAUAGGCAGAAAGAGGCAAACCAGCAGAUUAGUGGCCAAGGGGUGGAUGAGAAGGAAGAAUUCUUGCAUCAGAUCAGAAGUAAAUCUCUUAACCUAAGACCCACGGUCACUGCAAAACCAUCUGGUACUUCUGGUGUCCCCACCAAUGUCUCAGUCAUCACGAUUUUGCAGAAAGCAAAUGCAAUCCGUCAGGCUGUUGGGAGUGAUGACGGUGAAGAUGAUGAUAACUGGAGCGACAAUUAAUUAUUUUGGAACAUGGAUGCAUAAGAUAAUUGCAAGUAAAUCCUGCCAGUCUCCAUUGAGUAUUUUUCACAAUUGGGUUUGGAGCUCUCCAUAUCUGUCUUUGAAUUAAAACCUCUUUUUGUUCGAGCCAUUGCCAUGGGUGGACAAAGUUGAGAUAUUGGUUCAACCAGGUUUGGCUUUGGUUACUAUGUGUUAACAAAUGUAUAAAUUUCUCACAAACAAAAGAUUGAAAAACAACAUGCAUCCAUCUAGAUUCUAGAUCAGGUUUAUCAACUUUGUUUUAUUAUAUUAAGUCUAUGGUUUUUGCUUUUGUCUAAACAAAA